CCUACGGGUGGCAGCAGUGAGGAAUAUUGGUCAAUGGGCGGAAGCCUGAACCAGCCAAGUAGCGUGCAGGAUGACGGCCCUACGGGUUGUAAACUGCUUUUAUACGGGAAUAACGCGCCUUACGUGUAGGGCUUUGCAUGUACCGUAUGAAUAAGGACCGGCUAAUUCCGUGCCAGCAGCCGCGGUAAUACGGAGGGUCCGGGCGUUAACCGGAUUGAGUGGGUGUAAGGGGAGCGUAGGCAGCAGGUCAAGCCUGCUGUGAAAUGUCCGGGCUCAACCCGGGCCUUGCAGCGCGAACUGGCGUGCUUGAGUCCGCGGAAGGCAGGCGGAAUUCGUCGUGUAGCGGUGAAAUGCUUAGAUAUGACGAAGAACCCCGGUUGCGAAGGCAGCUUGCUGCAGCGGAACUGACGCUGAUGCUCGAAAGCGCGGGUAUCGAACAGGAUUAGAUACCCGGGUAGUC
RNAcentral lists this ribosomal RNA (460 nucleotides) under uncultured bacterium. RNAcentral describes it as "partial 16S ribosomal RNA". It matches the Rfam family "Bacterial small subunit ribosomal RNA", at positions 338 to 795 of the family's 1533-position model. The record is from RNAcentral.